Molecule: transfer RNA, 71 nt
Filed under: Danio rerio (zebrafish)
Lineage: Eukaryota; Metazoa; Chordata; Actinopteri; Cypriniformes; Danionidae
Rfam family: tRNA
About the family: Transfer RNA (tRNA) molecules are approximately 80 nucleotides in length. Their secondary structure includes four short double-helical elements and three loops (D, anti-codon, and T loops).
Source: Rfam by way of RNAcentral
ACUCAGAUGGUCCAGUGGUUAGCACGUUAGAUUACAACGCCAUGGACCGGGGUUUAAUCCUCGUCUGAGUA